RNAcentral lists this ribosomal RNA (671 nucleotides) under Salmonella enterica subsp. enterica serovar Hadar. Its description in RNAcentral is "partial 23S ribosomal RNA". It matches the Rfam family "Bacterial large subunit ribosomal RNA", at positions 2261 to 2925 of the family's 2925-position model. Lineage: Bacteria; Pseudomonadati; Pseudomonadota; Gammaproteobacteria; Enterobacterales; Enterobacteriaceae. The record is from RNAcentral.
GUGGGUAGUUUGACUGGGGCGGUCUCCUCCUAAAGAGUAACGGAGGAGCACGAAGGUUGGCUAAUCCUGGUCGGACAUCAGGAGGUUAGUGCAAUGGCAUAAGCCAGCUUGACUGCGAGCGUGACGGCGCGAGCAGGUGCGAAAGCAGGUCAUAGUGAUCCGGUGGUUCUGAAUGGAAGGGCCAUCGCUCAACGGAUAAAAGGUACUCCGGGGAUAACAGGCUGAUACCGCCCAAGAGUUCAUAUCGACGGCGGUGUUUGGCACCUCGAUGUCGGCUCAUCACAUCCUGGGGCUGAAGUAGGUCCCAAGGGUAUGGCUGUUCGCCAUUUAAAGUGGUACGCGAGCUGGGUUUAGAACGUCGUGAGACAGUUCGGUCCCUAUCUGCCGUGGGCGCUGGAGAACUGAGGGGGGCUGCUCCUAGUACGAGAGGACCGGAGUGGACGCAUCACUGGUGUUCGGGUUGUCAUGCCAAUGGCACUGCCCGGUAGCUAAAUGCGGAAGAGAUAAGUGCUGAAAGCAUCUAAGCACGAAACUUGCCCCGAGAUGAGUUCUCCCUGAGACUUUAGGUCUCCUGAAGGAACGUUGAAGACGACGACGUUGAUAGGCCGGGUGUGUAAGCGCAGCGAUGCGUUGAGCUAACCGGUACUAAUGAACCGUGAGGCUUAACCUUA